This 1056-nucleotide ribosomal RNA is filed under the name Salmonella enterica subsp. enterica serovar Typhimurium. RNAcentral describes it as "partial 23S ribosomal RNA". It matches the Rfam family "Bacterial large subunit ribosomal RNA", at positions 619 to 1592 of the family's 2925-position model. The record is from RNAcentral. Lineage: Bacteria; Pseudomonadati; Pseudomonadota; Gammaproteobacteria; Enterobacterales; Enterobacteriaceae.
GUCAGCGACUUAUAUUCUGUAGCAAGGUUAACCGAAUAGGGGAGCCGGAGGGAAACCGAGUCUUAAUUGGGCGUUAAGUUGCAGGGUAUAGACCCGAAACCCGGUGAUCUAGCCAUGGGCAGGUUGAAGGUUGGGUAACACUAACUGGAGGACCGAACCGACUAAUGUUGAAAAAUUAGCGGAUGACCUGUGGCUGGGGGUGAAAGGCCAAUCAAACCGGGAGAUAGCUGGUUCUCCCCGAAAGCUAUUUAGGUAGCGCCUCGUGAAUUCAUCUCCGGGGGUAGAGCACUGUUUCGGCUAGGGGGCCAUCCCGGCUUACCAACCCGAUGCAAACUGCGAAUACCGGAGAAUGUUAUCACGGGAGACACACGGCGGGUGCUAACGUCCGUCGUGAAGAGGGAAACAACCCAGACCGCCAGCUAAGGUCCCAAAGUCAUGGUUAAGUGGGAAACGAUGUGGGAAGGCCCAGACAGCCAGGAUGUUGGCUUAGAAGCAGCCAUCAUUUAAAGAAAGCGUAAUAGCUCACUGGUCGAGUCGGCCUGCGCGGAAGAUGUAACGGGGCUAAACCAUGCACCGAAGCUGCGGCAGCGAACGUAUCACCCAAGACAACUUUACGGAGUUGACGAUUGACGGAGCGAAGCGACGUCAAAGCGUUCAUUAAAGUCGAGUUGGCUUAGGGAUACGUUCGUUGGGUAGGGGAGCGUUCUGUAAGCCUGUGAAGGUGUGUCGUGAGGCAUGCUGGAGGUAUCAGAAGUGCGAAUGCUGACAUAAGUAACGAUAAAGCGGGUGAAAAGCCCGCUCGCCGGAAGACCAAGGGUUCCUGUCCAACGUUAAUCGGGGCAGGGUGAGUCGACCCCUAAGGCGAGGCCGAAAGGCGUAGUCGAUGGGAAACGGGUUAAUAUUCCCGUACUUGGUGUUACUGCGAAGGGGGGACGGAGAAGGCUAUGUUGGCCGGGCGACGGUUGUCCCGGUUUAAGCGUGUAGGUGUGUGUUCCAGGUAAAUCCGGUUCACUUUAACACUGAGGCGUGACGACGAGGCACUACGGUGCUGAAGCA